AAUAAAUCUCUUAUAUUUGUAUUUUCAUGCUCAUAUUGUUAAUCGAAAUAUCAAUGUUGCAUUCAACCAAGUAUCAUCUAAACAUAUUGCCACCAAUUCCCGCAGCAACGUGCGGGGAAUUGUCUAGUAUCCCUAAUCCAACUUUACAGUUCCAAGCAAGGUGCAUACAAGUUCACAGAAUUCACAGAAGAACCAAGAGGUGCAUACACUUGCCACUAGCUGGUUCACAGAAUUCACAGAAAAACCAAGAGGUGCAUACACUUGUCACUAGCUGAUCCAAUGAGAGUCUACCAAAAUAAAGUACACGUUGACUUGUGAGUAAAAUAACUGGCCAUUCCAAACACCACAAAGGUGGCAUAAUAGGGCAUCAGAAAGAGACAGCACAACAUCUCUGGUACUGUCCGGUCGCAGUCAAGAGGUGCGUACAACUUCACUUAGAACCAGUUCACUUGUCAAUAGCUGGUCAAAUGAAAGUCUACCAAAAUAAAGUACAAGUUGACUUGUGAGCAAAAUAACUGGCAAAUUGGAACACCAUAAAAUAAGGUGCCAUAAUACGGCAUCAGAAAGAGACAGCACAACAUCUGGUACUGAUUACUUCCUUCUGAUCAAUUGUUUUCUCUUGAUCAAUCAGACGUGUGGCAGAGACCACAUGCUUAAUUCCCACCGGUUUCAUGCUCUUGCUGGAUGUUUUCUCAGUCUUAACCUGGACGGCAGUGAUCCAUAGCUGAUUCUUGAGGGGGCGAGAUUUAAUU
This 752-nucleotide long non-coding RNA is filed under the name Triticum aestivum (bread wheat). RNAcentral's name for it is "long non-coding RNA (TAES_LNC023119)". Lineage: Eukaryota; Viridiplantae; Streptophyta; Magnoliopsida; Poales; Poaceae. The record is from RNAcentral.